GACAAAGACAAUUCUGGUCCCACAGUCUUGCAUCUGACUGCCCGCUUUGGCCACCCCAAGGUGGUGAACUGGCUCUUGCAUCAUGGCGGUGGGGAUCCCACCGCGGCCACAGACAUGGGCGCCCUGCCUAUCCACUACGCUGCAGCCAAAGGAGACUUCCCCUCCCUGAGGCUUCUCGUCAGGCACUACCCUGAGGGAGUGAAUGCCCAAACCAAGAACGGUGCCACGCCCCUGUACCUGGCGUGCCAGGAGGGCCACCUGGAGGUGACGCAGUACCUGGUGCAGGAAUGCGGCGCGGACCCGCACGCGCGCGCCCACGACGGCAUGACCCCACUGCACGCCGCGGCGCAGAUGGGCCACAGCCCGGUCAUCGUGUGGUUGGUGAGCUGCACCGACGUGAGCCUGUCGGAGCAGGACAAAGACGGCGCCACCGCCACGCACUUCGCGGCGAGCCGCGGCCACAGCAAGGUGCUCAGCUGGCUGCUGCUGCACGGCGGGGAGAUCUCGGCUGACCUGUGGGGCGGGACCGCGCUGUACGACGCCGCCGAGAACGGGGAGCUAGAGUGCUGCCAGAUCCUGGUAGUGAACGGCGCGGAGCUGGAAGUCCGCGACCGCGACGGGUACGCGGCCGCUGACCUGUCGGACUUCAACGGCCACAGCCACUGCACCCACUGCCUGCGCACGGUGGAGAACCUGAGCAUGGAGCACUGCGUGCUCUCCCGGGAUCCAUCCGUGGAGCUGGAGGCGAAGCAGCCGGAUUCAGGCAUGUCCUCACCCAACACCACGGUGUCGGUCCAGCCUCUGAACUUUGACCUCAGCUCGCCCACCAGCACCCUCUCCAACUACGACUCCUGCUCCUCCAGCCACUCCAGCAUCAAGGGCCAGCACCCUCCACGUGGGCUUUCCAGCACUAGAGCUGCAGACAUACAGAGCUACAUGGACAUGCUGAACCCAGAGCUGGGCCUGCCUUGGGGCACGAUUGGGAAGCCCAUACCCCCACCACCCCCACCCAGCUUCCCCCCGCCACCCCCGCCCCCAGGCACCCAACUGCCCCCACCCCCACCUAGCUACCCAUCUCCCAAGCCUCCUGUGGGACCACAGGCAGCUGACAUCUACAUGCAGACCAAGAACAAACUCCGCCACGUGGAGACAGAGGCCCUCAAGAAGGAGCCGAGCUCCUGCGACGGCCACGACGGGCUACGGAGGCAGGACUCCAGCCGCAAGCCCCGCGCUUUCAGCAAGCAGCCCAGCACGGGGGACUACUACCGGCAGCUGGGCCGCUGCCCCGGCGAGACGCUGGUCGCACGCCCGGGCAUGGCGCACCGCGAGGAGGCGGAACUCCCUGGGAACCACGUGCCUAACGGCUGCGCCGCGGACCCCAAGGCGUCCAGGGAGCAGCAGCUGCCGCCGCCGCCGCCGCCGCCGCCCCUGCCCGAGGCCGCGAGUUCGCCGCCGCCGGUCCCGCCUCUGCCCCUCGAGGGCGCUGGCCCUGGCUGCGGGCAGCGCCGCUCCUCCUCGCCCACCGGCAGCACCAAGUCUUUCAACGUGAUGUUCCCGAUGGGCGACAACUCGGAGCUACUGGCUGAGAUUAAGGCAGGCAAGAGCCUGAAGCCGACGCCACAGAGCAAGGGGCUGACCACAGUGUUCUCAGGCAGCAGGCAGCCGGCCUUCCAGCCCGAUUGGCCGCUGCCGUCUGUGUCACCUGCACUGUUACCAGUCCGGAGCCCCACACCGCCAGCUGCGGGGUUUCAGCCGCUGCUCAACGGAAGCUUGGUUCCGGUGCCGCCCACUACUCCUGCGCCGGGGGUGCAGCUGGACGUGGAGGCGCUCAUCCCCACGCACGAUGAGCAGGGCCGUCCCAAGCCCGAGUGGAAGCGCCAGGUGAUGGUGGGCAAGAUGCAGCUGAAGAUGGAGGAGGAGGAGGAGCAGAGGUGGAAAGAGGAGGAGGAGGCCCGGCUGGCCAGCAUGCCCGCCUGGAGGUGGGACCUCCUGCGGAAGAAGCUGGAAGAAGAGAG
RNA transcript from Homo sapiens (human), 2015 nucleotides. It is a transcript of the gene named espin pseudogene, with no coding region annotated. The transcript has 11 exons. The record is from RefSeq and is marked provisional. Lineage: Eukaryota; Metazoa; Chordata; Mammalia; Primates; Hominidae.